AACGAACGCUGGCGGCAGGCCUAACACAUGCAAGUCGAACGCGUCCUUCGGGACGAGUGGCAGACGGGUGAGUAACGCGUGGGAACGUACCCUUUGGUUCGGAACAACAGCGGGAAACUGCUGCUAAUACCGGAUAAGCCCUUCGGGGGAAGAUUUAUCGCCAGAGGAUCGGCCCGCGUUAGAUUAGCUUGUUGGUGAGGUAAUGGCUCACCAAGGCUACGAUCUAUAGCUGGCCUGAGAGGAUGAUCAGCCACACUGGGACUGAGACACGGCCCAGACUCUUACGGGAGGCAGCAGUGGGGAAUCUUGGACAAUGGGCGAAAGCCUGAUCCAGCCAUGCCGCGUGAAUGAUGAAGGCCCUAGGGUUGUAAAAUUACUUUCGACGGGGAAGAUAAUGACGGUACCCGUAGAAGAAGCUCCGGCUAACUUCGUGCCAGCAGCCGCGGUAAU
This 450-nucleotide ribosomal RNA is filed under the name uncultured bacterium. Its description in RNAcentral is "bacterial SSU rRNA". It matches the Rfam family "Bacterial small subunit ribosomal RNA", at positions 29 to 524 of the family's 1533-position model. The record is from RNAcentral.